GCUAAGGUCGGGCCGGCGGCGGCGGGAGGGCGAACCGGGCGAACGUGGUUCGGAAGCACUGGGCUUAAAGGGCGCGUAGGCGGCCCGCCGCGUCCGGGGUGAAAUCCUCCCGCUCAACGGGAGAACGGCCUCGGAUACGGGCGGGCUGGAGGGGGGUAGGGGCACGCGGAACUGUGGGUGGAGCGGUGAAAUGCGUUGAGAUCCACAGGAACUCCGGUGGCGAAGGCGGCGUGCUGGACCCCAUCUGACGCUGAGGCGCGAAAGCCAGGGGAGCGAACGGGAUUAGAUACCCGUGUAGUC
RNAcentral lists this ribosomal RNA (300 nucleotides) under uncultured Vulcanisaeta sp. RNAcentral's name for it is "bacterial SSU rRNA". It matches the Rfam family "Bacterial small subunit ribosomal RNA", at positions 496 to 795 of the family's 1533-position model. The record is from RNAcentral. Lineage: Archaea; Thermoproteati; Thermoproteota; Thermoprotei; Thermoproteales; Thermoproteaceae.